RNAcentral lists this ribosomal RNA (538 nucleotides) under Methylovirgula sp. RNAcentral describes it as "bacterial SSU rRNA". It matches the Rfam family "Bacterial small subunit ribosomal RNA", at positions 157 to 729 of the family's 1533-position model. Lineage: Bacteria; Pseudomonadati; Pseudomonadota; Alphaproteobacteria; Hyphomicrobiales; Beijerinckiaceae. The record is from RNAcentral.
CUUGAGCUAAUACCGGAUAAGUCCGCGAGGAGAAAGAUUUAUCGCCGAAGGAUUGGCCCGCGUCUGAUUAGCUAGUUGGUGAGGUAACGGCUCACCAAGGCGACGAUCAGUAGCUGGUCUGAGAGGAUGACCAGCCACACUGGGACUGAGACACGGCCCAGACUCCUACGGGAGGCAGCAGUGGGGAAUAUUGGACAAUGGGCGCAAGCCUGAUCCAGCCAUGCCGCGUGAGUGAUGAAGGCCUUAGGGUUGUAAAGCUCUUUUACUCGGGAAGAUAAUGACGGUACCGAGAGAAUAAGCCCCGGCUAACUUCGUGCCAGCAGCCGCGGUAAUACGAAGGGGGCUAGCGUUGUUCGGAUUUACUGGGCGUAAAGCGCACGUAGGCGGAUCUUUAAGUCAGGGGUGAAAUCCCGAGGCUCAACCUCGGAACUGCCUUUGAUACUGGGGAUCUUGAGUCCGGAAGAGGUGAGUGGAACUGCGAGUGUAGAGGUGAAAUUCGUAGAUAUUCGCAAGAACACCAGUGGCGAAGGCGGCUCAC